AGGUCAAGCUAGUAAGGGCACACGGUGGAUGCCUAGGCGCUAAGAGACGAGGAAGGGCGUGGCAAGCUGCGAAAAGCCUCGGGGAGCCGCAAGCAGGCGUCGAUCCGGGGAUACCCGAAUGGGGCAACCCAACUGGAGUAAUAUCCAGUUACCCUAUGCUGAAUCCAUAGGCAUAGAGGGGGCAACCGAGGGAACUGAAACAUCUUAGUACCUCGAGGAAAAGAAAGAAAACUCGAUUCCCCAAGUAGCGGCGAGCGAAACGGGAAGAGCCUAAACCCGGCACUUAACUCAGCAUUUGAGUUGGGAGAGAAAGAAGAGAAAGAAAGAAGAGAAAGAAAAGGAAGCCAACCGAAAGUUGAGUUAAGUGCCGGGGGUUGCGGGACUCUCAUAAUGGAGUAAGAAACCUUUGUUCUAGUCGAAGCGGUCUGGAAAGGCCCGUCAUAGAAGGUAACAACCCUGUAGGCGAAAGGGCAAAGGCUCCAGAGAGGAUCCCAAGUACCACGGGACACGAGGAACCCCGUGGGAAUCCGGGGGGACCACCCCCCAAGGCUAAAUACUCCUUAGCGACCGAUAGCGAACCAGUACCGUGAGGGAAAGGUGAAAAGCACCCCGGGAGGGGAGUGAAAGAGAACCUGAAACCGUGUGCUUACAAGCAGUCGGAGCCCGAAAGGGUGACGGCGUACUUUUUGUAGAACGGACCGGCGAGUUACAGUAGCAAGCGAGGUUAAGUGGGAGACACGGAGCCGAAGCGAAAGCGAGUCUGAAAGAGGGCGAAGAGUUUGCUGCUGUAGACCCGAAACCGGGUGAUCUACCCAUGGCCAGAGUGAAGUUGUGGUAAAGCACAAUGGAGGCUCGAACUGACCGACGUUGAAAAGUCGGCGGAUGAGCUGUGGGUAGGGGUGAAAUGCCAAUCGAACCCGGAGAUAGCUGGUUCUCCCCGAAAUAGCUUUAGGGCUAGCCUCAAGGGAUGAUUUACGGAGGUAGAGCACUGACUAGGCUAGGGGCCUGAGCAGGUUACCGAACCUUCUCAAACUCCGAAUGCCGUAAAUUGGACCGUGGGAGUCAGACUACGAGUGAUAAGAUCCGUAGUCGAGAGGGAAACAGCCCAGACCGUCGAUUAAGGUCCCGAAGUCUACGCUAAGUGGGAAAGGAUGUGGAGUUGCCGAGACAACCAGGAUGUUGGCUUAGAAGCAGCCACCAUUCAAAGAGUGCGUAAUAGCUCACUGGUCGAGUGGCUCUGCGCCGAAAAUAAACGGGGCUGAAGCGUAGCACCGAAAUCACGGCCCGGCACUUAACUCAGCAUUUCAGGUAGAGGAAUCAAAAAGUUGAAGGAGAAACUAACUGGAGAGUUGAGUUAAGUGCCGGGGGUAGGGGAGCGUUCUCACCGCGGGGAAGUCAUCCUGAAAGGGAUGGUGGAGCGGUGAGAAGAGAGAAUGCCGGUAUGAGUAAGCGAGAAGGCAGGUGAGAAUCCUGCCCGCCGAAAGCCUAAGGUUUUCUGGGGAAGGCUCGUCCGCCCAGAGUAAGCCGGGACCUAAGCCGAGGCCGGAAGGCGUAGGUGAUGGACAAUCGGUUGAGAAUCCGAUGCCACCCAGGACCGUUAGGAGCGAAGGGGUGACACAGGAGGGUAGGCAUAGCGCACCGUUGGUUGAGUGCGUCCAAGCUGGUAGGGGGUAAGAUAGGCAAAUCCGUCUUACGAAACCCCGAGAAGUGAUGGCGAGGGAAGACGAGUACCGAAGUAGCUGAACCCAAACUGUCAAGAAAAGCCUCUAGCCAGGGAAUGGGUGCCCGUACCGCAAACCGACACAGGUAGGCGGGGUGAGAAUCCUAAGGCGCGCGAGAGAACCCUCGUUAAG
RNAcentral lists this ribosomal RNA (1853 nucleotides) under Bacillota bacterium. RNAcentral's name for it is "partial 23S ribosomal RNA". It matches the Rfam family "Bacterial large subunit ribosomal RNA", at positions 1 to 1709 of the family's 2925-position model. Lineage: Bacteria; Bacillati; Bacillota. The record is from RNAcentral.